AUUGAACGCUGGCGGCAGGCCUAACACAUGCAAGUCGCACGAGUGGCGGACGGGUGAGUAAUGUCUGGGAAACUGCCCGAUGGCGGGGGAUAACUACUGGAAACGGUAGCUCAUACCGCAUACCAUCGGAUGUGCCCAGAUGGGAUUAGCUAGUAGGUGGGGUAACGGCUCACCUAGGCGACGAGCCCUAGCUGGUCUGAGAGGAUGACCAGCCACACUGGAACGUAGACACAGUCCAGACUCCUACGGUAGGGAGCAGGGGGGAAUAUUGCACAAUGGGCGCAAGCCUGAUGCAGCCAUGCCGCGUGUAUGAAGAAGGCCUUCGGGUUGUAAAGUACUUUCAGCGAGGAGGCGUUACUCGCAGAAGAAGCACCGGCUAACUCCGUGCCAGGCGCGGCGGUAAGUC
This 406-nucleotide ribosomal RNA is filed under the name uncultured bacterium. RNAcentral describes it as "partial 16S ribosomal RNA". It matches the Rfam family "Bacterial small subunit ribosomal RNA", at positions 30 to 526 of the family's 1533-position model. The record is from RNAcentral.